This 301-nucleotide ribosomal RNA is filed under the name uncultured bacterium. Its description in RNAcentral is "partial 16S ribosomal RNA". It matches the Rfam family "Bacterial small subunit ribosomal RNA", at positions 509 to 807 of the family's 1533-position model. The record is from RNAcentral.
CAGUCGCCACGGGAAUACGGAGGGUGCAAGCGUUAAUCGGAAUUACUGGGCGUAAAGCGUGCGCAGGCGGCUAUGCAAGACAGAUGUGAAAUCCCCGGGCUCAACCUGGGAACUGCAUUUGUGACUGCAUGGCUAGAGUACGGUAGAGGGGGAUGGAAUUCCGCGUGUAGCAGUGAAAUGCGUAGAUAUGCGGAGGAACACCGAUGGCGAAGGCAAUCCCCUGGACCUGUACUGACGCUCAUGCACGAAAGCGUGGGGAGCAAACAGGAUUAGAUACCCGCGUAGUCCCUGUCUCUUAUAC